AGUACUUAAACAGCUGCAGACUGAAUGAUGUAGUCUUUAUCUUCUUCACUCGAGAGUUUCAGAGUCUUAACAUUUUCUGGUGUGGUAGCUUUAAACCAUUUGUCAGUCAUGUAGCCACCACUCCACGCUGUCCUGUAUUUAAAUUGAAACAAUUUCAAUGUUUUUAGCUCACGCUGCACGUAUACCGGUCUGUAGACAUUUAACCAUUUCUGUGGUCUCAAUGGUUGAUUACUCAGGGUACCACUUUACACACCGGCAGCAACCCGGCAUGUUUUGGUCCAAUAUGUUAAUUCUUCUGGGAGUCCUUUGGAGGGCACUCGCUUUGGAGGGCAGUUCCAUCACGUUGCCAUAAUGUCUGUGCUGACGUGGGCGUGGUUACUGACUUGGCAAAAGUUUAUAUGAAAAAUUAUUCUCAUUUAGAAGGCUAAAUUCACAUUGCUAUUUUUUCACAAAUUGUUUCAUAUUUAACCAUACAAGUUUUACAACAUUUAAGAUAUUGAAAUAUGUCUGAUUAUGUACCAUGGAAAAAUUAAAACAAAUUGCAAAUAAAAAAUAUAUAUAAAAUGCAAAUAAAAAAUAUAUAUAAAAUGUAAAAAAAAAUGUAAAAGUGGGUGGUAACUCAGACUUGACUACUUUCAGAGUUACAGUUAUCUUGUUAUACCAUCUGUAAUGACAUCACAAAAUGCAAAAUUAUGUGACAUGAUUAUUGUUUCCAUCUCCACCAACCAUUUUCCACAUUCUUUAUGUUAGAAAUAUUGUUUCAAUGUCCAAUCUUUUGAUGUUAAAGUUUUGGCCGAGUCUCUCUCUACACACAACAGAUUUUUGACCUCUCCAUACUGCAGUGCAGGAGAGAGAAAGUUUACGACCAGUCAUUAUGAGAGUCAUGACACAGUAUCCUAACAAACAUGAAAAUAUGCAUACUGUAUGACACAGAUACGUUUAAGAAAAAAUACAUCUUCUUCCUAAUACUUUAAAUGUUAGGGAUGGACCUCAUUGGACCCUUCACGAAAUCCAGAAAUGGCAACAGCUAGUGUCUGAUGGCGACCGAUCACUUUACCAAUACCCAUUAACUUCUUGCGUCGAGCAAUCCCGUAUCUGGGAGCGUAAUCAUAGCCUCAAGCUCAUUACCAUAACGCAACAUUAACUAUUCAUGAAAAUCGCAAAUGAAAUGAAAUAAAUAUAUUGGCUCACAAGCUUAGCCUUUUGUUAACAACACUGUCAUCUCAGAUUUUCAAAAUAUGCUUUUCAACCAUAGCUACACAAGCAUUUGUGUAAGAGUAUUGAUAGCUAGCAUAGCAUUAAGCCUAGCAUUCAGCAGGCAACAUUUUCACAAAAACAAAAGCAUUCAAAUAAAAUAAUUUACCUUUGAAGAACUUCGGAUGUUUUCAAUGAGGAGACUCUCAGUUAGAUAGCAAAUGUUCAGUUUUUCCAAAAAGAUUAUUUGUGUAGGAGAAAUCGCUCCGUUUUGUUCAUCACAUUUGGCUAAGAAAAAAACCCGAAAAUUCAGUCAUUACAACGCCAAACUUUUUUCCAAAUUAACUCCAUAAUAUCGACAGAAACAUGGCAAACGUUGUUUAGAAUCAAUCCUCAAGGUGUUUUUCACAUAUCUAUUUGAUGAUAAAUCAUUCGUGGCAGUUGGGUUUCUCCUCUGAAGCAAAUGGUAAAAUACACGCAGCUGGAGAUUACGCAAUAAUUUCGACGGAGGACACCAAGCGGGCACCUGGUAAAUGUAGUUUCUUAUGGUCAAUCUUCCAAUGAUAUGCCUACAAAUACGUCACAAUGCUGCAGACACCUUGGGGAAAUGACAGAAAGUGUAGGCUCAUUCCUGGCGCAUUCACAGCCAUAUAAGGAGACAUUGGAACACAGCGCCUUCAAAAUCUGGGACAUUUCCUGUUUGAAAUUUAAUCUUGGUUUCGCCUGUAGCAUCAGUUCUGUGGCACUCACAGAUAAUAUAUUUGCCAUUUUGGAAACGUCAGUGUGUUUUCUUUCCAAAGCUGUCAAUUAUAUGCAUAGUCGAGCAUCUUUUCAUGACAAAAUAUCUUGUUUAAAACGGGAACGUUUUUUUAUCCAAAAAUUUAAAGAGCGCCCCCUAUAUCGAAGAAGUUAAAGCCAGAGAACAUGCUUAACUCUAAAUUCGCUUCAGUAACCCAUUUUUUUUUUAUGUAACUAGGCAAGUCAGUUUUUUCAAUGACAGCCUUGGAACAGUGGGUUAACUGCCUUGUUCAGGGAGAGAACAAAAGUUUUUUUUACCUUGGGAAUUUGAACUUGCAACCUUUGGGUGACUAGUCCAAUGCUUUAACCACUAGGCUAUCUGUCCAUUUUAAAUCCAUCCAUUAAAAAGAGUGCUUGGAACCAAACAUUUAUUUUCAUUUUGUUUGAUACCCAUCAAGGACGAGACUGGCGAGGUCACCUCCAAUGUGAUGGACAUCUUCAACACCCACUUCGUUUCAUUUUUUAUUUGCAAUUUUUCAUUUUUCCAUGGUAUAUAAUCAGACAUAUUUCAAUAUCUUACAUUGUCAAUAGACAUCACUUUCCUUCCCCCUGCUCCAUACACAUGGAUUUUGUACUGUAGAUAUGUGAUAGUAGGGGCCUGAGGGCACACAGUGUGUUGUGAAAUCUGUGGAUGUCUUUUAAUGUUCUUAAAAUUGCUUAAACAUCCUUCAUUUUGCUGUACCCAAGGAAGAGUAGCUGCUGUCUUGGUAGCAGCUAAUGGGGAUCCAUAAUAAAUACAAAUUGUCCUCUGUUAAUUUAUUUUCUGGCCCUCCAAGUGAUGUGUUAGAAAUAUAUUUGUAAUAUGAAAUAUAAUAGCAUAUAUUCCUGUUAUCAAUCAAGGUUAGCGUGAACAUCGACAAGGCGCGGGAUUAAGAGAAGGAGAGCUACCGGAGGAAAAUCAAGAAGGGGACCAAGUGCUUCAACAUCCGGGCAAAUUGCUGGCUUGGAAGAACAACAAAAGGAAGGCAAGACUUGGGAAACAUCGAUGCGCUUUCGCUCCUAGCUGGGGUCACCAUUCAAUAAGGGUUACCUCGGUGGAAGCCAACAAUCUUCUCCAGUUGGAGCAUUGAAACGUUUGACCACUGAAAGCACUGACGUCCUACACUUCGGUGGAGCACAAUAGACAAAGUGUGUUAAAUUUGGUUGACAUUUGAGGAAGGAAGAAAUGGUAUAUAUGCUGAGCUUCUAAAAAUAUACCUCUUCAGUUUACCUCUCCUAAUGACUUUAGGACCAUCGACUGUCCGAGCCCCCAAGGAGGUAUCCCAUCCUCCAGAGCUAGUGAGUUCAGAUCAGUCUGAUUCUCUGUGCUCUGAGUUAGAGGGGGACCAGCUUGAGGUAGGCUAUACCUUCCAAAACGGUUGAAAAGUACAUACAGAACAUUCAGAAAGUAUUCCGGUCCCUUUCCUUUUUCUACAUUUUGUUAUAUUACAGCCUUAUUCUAAAAUGGAUUGAAUAAAAACAUUUCCUCAUCAAUCUACACACAAUAACCUUUAAUGAUUUGCAAAUUUACAAAAAAAAUUCAAAAAGAAAUACCUUAAUUACAUAAGUACUCAGACUCUUUGCUAUGAAACUCGAAAUUGAGCUCAGGUUCAUCAUGUUUCCAUUGAUCAUCCUUGAGAUAUUUCUACUACUUGAUUCCACCUGUGCUAAAUUCAAUUGAUAGGGCAUGAUUUGGAAGGGCAAACAGCUGUCUAUAUAAAGUUCCACCGCUGACAGUUGACAGAGUAAAAGCCAAGCCAUGAGUUCCAAAGAAUUGACCGUAGUGCUCUGAAACAGAUUUGGGGAACGGUACCAAAACAUUUCUACAACAUGGAAGGUCCCCAGGAACAUAGUGGCCUCAAUCAUUCUAAAAUGGAAGAAGUUUGGAACCACCAAGACUCUUCUUAGAGCUGGCCGCCUGGCCAAACUGAGCAAUCGGGGGAGAAGGGCCUUGGUCAGGGAGGUGACCAAGAACCCGAUGGUCACUCUGACAGAGCUCCAGAGUUCCUCUGUGGAGAUGGGAGAACCUUCCAGAAGGACAACCAUCUCUGCAGCUCUCCUCCAAUCAGGACUUUAUGGCAGAGUGGCCAGACAAAAGCCCCUCCUCAGUAAAAUGCACAUAACAGCCCGCUUGGAGUUUGCCAAAGGGCACCUAGAGGACUCACACCAUGAGAAACAAGAUCCAAAUCUUUGGCCUGAAUGUCAAGCGUCACAUCUGGAGGAUACCUGACACCAUCCUUAUGGUGAAGCAUGGUGGUGGCAGCAUCAUGCUGUGGGGGAUGUUUUUCAGUGGCAGGGACUGGGAGACUAGGAUCGAGGGAAAGAUGAACAAAGCAAAGUACAGAGAUCCUUGAUGAACAAAAACCUGCUCCAGAGCACUCAGCACCUCAGACUUGGGCGAAGGUUCACCUUCCAACAGGACAACGACCCUAAGCACACAGCCAAGACAAAUCAGGAGUGGCAUCAGGACAAAUUAUCUGAAUGUCCUUGAGUGGCCCAGCCAGAGCCCGGACUUGAACCUGAUUGAUCAUCUCUGGAGAGACAUGAAAAUAGCUGUGCAGCAACGCUCCCCAUCCAAUCUGGCAGAGAUUGAGAGGAUCUGCAGAGAAAAAUGGGAGAAACUCCCCAAAUACAGGUGUACAAAGCUUGUAGCGUCAUACUCAAGAACACUCGAGCCUGUAUCGCUGCCGAAGGUCCUGCAACAAAGGGUCUGAAUACUUAUGUGAAUAAGAUAUUUCAGUUUUUUGCUUUGUCAUUAUGGCGUAUUGUGUGUAGAUUGAUAAGGGGAACAACGAUUUAAUCCAUUUUAGAAUAAGGCUGUAACAUAAAAAGAUGUGGAAAAGGUCAAGGGACCGAAAUACUUUCUGAAUGCUCUGUAUCUCCCAUUUAGAGCACUGCACUAAUCAAUUGCAUUUUCUCACAGUAAAGUUGAACGUGUAUUUGCUUGUCUAUCUACUACCCUAUUCCCUUUUACUAAGAAAGUUUUCUAGCUCUGUCAUGAACUUAAUAUGUGAGAUACACACAUUAUCUAAAAACAUUGUCAUUGCAAACACUCAGAACAAUGAGAGCAGCAGUGCCUGGACUUUGCAGUCUCCCUCUUCAAGCCCCCCUUCUGAGACUGGCUGCCUUUUGAGAACAAGUGACAGGCAGAACCUCCUCUAUAUUCCACACACCAGAAUUCAGUAUUUUAGUCUAUGAUUGCCAUGUGAGUGUACAUAAAAUCUAUGAAAAUAAAUUAAUGACAAAACUGUACAAAAAAAAAGUUUAGAUAUUAAAAUCUUAAAUAUUGCCAGAUUGGUUUUCACAGCCGUUUCACAAGGUGUUCAUUAUUAUAAAUUGUAAAGUCUCCCUUGACGGUAUUUAUUUACUUGACAUUAUUCACUGUUGUAUAAUGAUGGCACCGACAGACAUGGAAGCUCUGCUUCUAGCUCCUACAUACAAGCGUUUUGCCAAACACCCGCAAUAACAUCUGCUAAAUGUGUGUAUGUGACCAUUCAUAUUUGCUUUGUAUCCUAGGACCUACAAUAGAUACAUAUAUAUUCAACCACAAGGGUGUACUAAUGAGAUAUGUGAGACAGGAAAAAAAUGAAUCAUCAUUGAGGAC
Long non-coding RNA from Oncorhynchus tshawytscha (Chinook salmon), 5575 nucleotides. Lineage: Eukaryota; Metazoa; Chordata; Actinopteri; Salmoniformes; Salmonidae. The record is from Ensembl.